GACAUAGGUGGCAAGCGUUAUUCGGAAUUACUAGGCGUAAAGCGAGUGUAGGCGGACGAUUAAGUCCGAUGUUAAAUCUCCAGGCUUAACUUGGAGUCGCAUCGGAUACUGGUCGCCUCGAGUGGGGUAGGGGACAGCGGAAUUCCCGGUGUAGCGGUGAAAUGCGCAGAUAUCAGGAGGAACACCAAUUGCGAAGGCAGCUCGCUGGGACGUGACUGACGCUGAGACGCGAAAGCGUGGGGAGCAAACAGG
This 252-nucleotide ribosomal RNA is filed under the name uncultured bacterium. Its description in RNAcentral is "partial 16S ribosomal RNA". It matches the Rfam family "Bacterial small subunit ribosomal RNA", at positions 524 to 776 of the family's 1533-position model. The record is from RNAcentral.